AGUGAACGCUGGCGGUAGGCCUAACACAUGCAAGUCGAACGGCAGCACAGUAAGAGCUUGCUCUUACGGGUGGCGAGUGGCGGACGGGUGAGGAAUACAUCGGAAUCUACUUUUUCGUGGGGGAUAACGUAGGGAAACUUACGCUAAUACCGCAUACGACCUACGGGUGAAAGCAGGGGAUCUUCGGACCUUGCGCGAUUGAAUGAGCCGAUGUCGGAUUAGCUAGUUGGCGGGGUAAAGGCCCACCAAGGCGACGAUCCGUAGCUGGUCUGAGAGGAUGAUCAGCCACACUGGAACUGAGACACGGUCCAGACUCCUACGGGAGGCAGCAGUGGGAAAUAUUGGACAAUGGGCGCAAGCCUGAUCCAGCCAUACCGCGUGGGUGAAGAAGGCCUUCGGGUUGUAAAGCCCUUUUGUUGGGAAAGAAAAGCAGCAGGUUAAGACCCCGCUGUUCUGACGGUACCCAAAGAAUAAGCACCGGCUAACUUCGU
RNAcentral lists this ribosomal RNA (491 nucleotides) under uncultured bacterium. Its description in RNAcentral is "partial 16S ribosomal RNA". It matches the Rfam family "Bacterial small subunit ribosomal RNA", at positions 29 to 506 of the family's 1533-position model. The record is from RNAcentral.